RNAcentral lists this ribosomal RNA (420 nucleotides) under Pseudamia zonata (paddlefish cardinalfish). RNAcentral's name for it is "partial 12S ribosomal RNA". It matches the Rfam family "Bacterial small subunit ribosomal RNA", at positions 915 to 1527 of the family's 1533-position model. The record is from RNAcentral. Lineage: Eukaryota; Metazoa; Chordata; Actinopteri; Kurtiformes; Apogonidae.
GGUGCUUAAGAUCCACCUAGAGGAGCCUGUUCUAGAACCGAUAACCCCCGUUCAACCUCACCCCCUCUUGUCCAACCCGCCUAUAUACCGCCGUCGUCAGCUUACCCUGUGAAGGCCUAAUAGUAAGCAAGAUUAGUACAACCCAAAACGUCAGGUCGAGGUGUAGCGAAUGAGGAGGGAAGAAAUGGGCUACAUUCGCUAAUACAGCGAACACGAACAAUGUGCUGAAACAAACAUUUAAAGGAGGAUUUAGCAGUAAGAGGGAAGCAGAGCGUCCCACUGAAACUGGCCCUAAAGCGCGCACACACCGCCCGUCACUCUCCCCAAGCUUUAAUGUUUCACAUACAUAAACAAAAAUAACUGCAAAGGGGAGGCAAGUCGUAACAUGGUAAGCGUACCGGAAGGUGCGCUUGGAAAAAC